RNAcentral lists this long non-coding RNA (6352 nucleotides) under Ananas comosus (pineapple). RNAcentral describes it as "long non-coding RNA (ACOM_LNC035439)". Lineage: Eukaryota; Viridiplantae; Streptophyta; Magnoliopsida; Poales; Bromeliaceae. The record is from RNAcentral.
UCAUGCCAAAAAAUAAAAAAUACACGAACAAAUAAAUAAAUAAAUAAUAAUAAAUAUUAAAUACAAAAUAAAAACUUUCUUCAACAAUAAGGCUUCGUUUGGAAUUACGUGGAGAUUGCGUUACGUGCGGUGAGAAAGUUCGUUGAAAAAUUAUCUGUUUGUUUCCGUACGUAAUACUGCGUUCCGCAUAUCGCGAUGAGUCGGUUAUGAUACAUUUUUUAAGGUCACAUCGGAGAACGUAGAAGUAUAUCUCUAUAUAUUUUUUCUUCAACUCUAUUUUAUUUAAUAGCGUUAGAUAGAUCUUAAUACCAAACUAAACCUAAGUAGGAAAUAAUGAUUUUUGAUUGAAGAGAAUAUCAGAAACAUUACUUGUUAAGAUAAGUUUUAACAUUUUUACUAUAAAUGUAACAACGUAUGAUACAAGGCAGUUGUAGACUUGCAUUGUAACCGUACGUGUUCCUUCCUCAAUGAGCAAACUACAAUACGUAAAAAAUUUCAGCAAAAUGUAACUUUUUAGUUCUAUUUGUGAUUUAAACUGGCCCUACCUACCCAAUUUUUUACGGGUCAACUCGAGGCCGAGCCGUGCCUGAGUUUUCAAUUUGUUCGAUUCGUUNUUACCCAACGUGGUGGUGGUUGGUAUAGCUUCAGCAGGCGAGACGGGUGCGUUCACACUCCCUAGUGAGAUUGGGUCAGAGAUUGCAUCUUGCUUAUAUCUACAUAUAGGUAGUGUUGGUUAGCGAUAGUAUAGUGGUAUGUAGCUGUAAAGUUUUUUCAGCUUCUUUUACUAUCCUUGAGUAUACUUUUUGUAGACUUAGUGGGUGAAUCGUCGAGGUCGGUAGCGGUAUCCACUGAGAACUACUUCUUUUUGCAGUAGUUCUCAUACCCAGUUGUUGAUCCCUUUUUGUAGAGCCUUCGUCAGCGGUUGCUGUUGUUGCUGAUUUGGAUCGUAGAAAGGGAGUCGCGAACAAAAUCCCUUCCAGUCUUGUUACUGUUCUAGAGGAGUACCAGCUGCACGUAGUUUUGAUUUUUGGUUCAUAUACAUACUGAUAUUAGAUACUCGUUUGAACAAGUGAUGUCUGUAUCUUGGAGACUAUGCAUGUAUAAUGAACCUGAUGUUUAUCUAUAUGUAUUUACAGUUCUAUUAGCAGCUCUAUACUACUAGUUGUAGUUUUGUAUGAUGACAUGUACAAGUACAACUAUCGCUUCGUAUACAGAGGAAAUUCUUUUGUAUACGACGGGUCUGUUGGCGUGCCCGGAGAAACAUGGUAAUCUGCGGCGUGACAGAAAUUUUGUAUUACUAUUUAAAAAAUUUGUAAUGCUGAUAAAUAUUUUAAUUUAACAUACUUAAUAUGUUUAAGAAAUUUUUAAAUUCCUAUAGUUUAGACAUUAAUUUUGUAUCACUUAUUUAAAAAAAUUUGAAUGUAGGUAAAAAAGUUAUAAAUUAAAUGUAUUUAAUAUGUUAAAAAAAAACUUAGGAUUGUUCUACUUAGACAUUAAUUUUGUAUCAUUAUUUAAAAAAAAUUUGUAAUGUUGGUAAAUAUUUAAAUUCGACAUAUUUAAUAUGUUUAAGAAAAUUUUAAAUUCCUAUAGUUUAGACAUUAAUUUUGUAUCAUUAUUUUAGAAAAAAUUGUAAUGUUGGUAAAUAUGUAAAUUUAACAUAUUUUAUAUGUUUAACAAAAUUAUAAAUUCAUCUUAGACAUUAAUUUUGUAUUACUAAUUUUAAGCAAUUGAAUGUGGGCAAAUAUUUAAACUCAACAUAUUUAAUAUGUUUAUAAAAAUUUAAUAAUUUUUCUAAUUCAGUAUUAAUUCUUUAUUACUAUUUAAAAAUUUAAUGUGGAUAAUUAAUUAGAAAUAUCGGGUAUAAUUCAAAUUUAUUCUUAGAAUAGAAUUGUAUGGAUAAAAUUAAUUGAAAUUUUAGUAGUAAAAAUUGAUCUUUUAAAAUAAUAAGAUCAUAUAUUGUAAUUUAAAAUAUAAGCUGAAAACAAAUAAAAUUUGAAGUUUAGAACCUAAAAAGUAAAUAGAAACCUCCAAUAAAUUUAAAUAGUGUAGUGCAAUUUAAAUUUACCAAUAAAUAGAUUUAGGCUAUAUAAUUUAAAUUUUAAACUUAUAACAAAUCUCUAGAAUUUUAUUAGAGUAAACAAAAUCAGAAAUGUAGAUAAAUUAAAUAAAUUUAUAUUGAACAAAUCUAGGCUAUUUGUAUAUUUUAUUAAUUUGAUCAGUCCAAUUAAUUUGAUUUCUUAAAUUGAUUUUGACUUUUAUCUUUAAAUUUUUUUAAUUUUUAGUUGAUUUUUAAAAUUUUAGUUUGUUACCUUUUGGUUUACGAUUAGCUUCUUAACUUUUAUUAUUCAUUUUAAUUAAAUUAGUAUCAAUGAUUUAAAACCAGAUUAAAACGAUUGAUUUGACUGAUCAUACUUUAAACUAUUCUAUGAAAUAUCCGAUUUCAAUCUAUUAAGCUGAAUAAGAUUAAGAACAAUCUGGAACCGUUAAAGAUAAUAAACAUUUCAAACAGAAUGGUAUUUUAACAGUUAGAGCUAAUAAAUAUUUUAAACAUAAUUUUAAAUAUAAAAAUUAAAAAUAUUAGGAUUCCUGUUUAGAAAAAAAAGGUUAGAAAUUUGAAUUCGAACCCGACUAACAAUUGCAAAACUUAUUUAUGAUCUUGACGGAUUUCAAAAACUCAUAUCUAAAUCCGAAACUGACCAAUUUUCCGAAAUCCAAAACCGAACCCAAACCCGAAGACCAGAACCCGAAACAAUUAUUUCUUUUUACCAUACUUCAAAAUAUUUUAUAUUAAAUUUAAAUUUUUAAAAUAUAAAUUCAAAUAUAAUAUUAAACUUUAUAUAUGAUUCGGGUCUGAUUCAAGAUGGAUAUUUAGACAAAAUUCAUAGUUGAUCUACAAAAUAAUCUCACAUUCUUGUUGUCAAAUAAUUUGAAACUUUUCUUAUAUGAAAUGCCAAAAUAUGAGAGGAAAGGUAGAGAGAAAAAAAAAGAAACAAACAGAGAAUAAAAAUUUCGAUAAUAUAGUAGAGAUAAAAUCACUAAAUUGCUUAUAUAUUAAAAGACAAGAAUAACCUUUUUCGAGGUAUCUGGUAACUGUACCUCUCCCAAAGUGACCUGCUAUUGCAGGUCACAAUUUUACAAAAAUUAAAUCUGAACCAUUGAAUGGGAGGGAAUGAACAGUAAUGAAAAAAAAAGUAUAGAAAUAUUAUUCUAAUAAUAUUAGUAUGAACAGCCAAACAGCAGUUUAAUUGGACUAAUAUACGCUGGAGCCGAGACGUGAAGUUACAUUUAUUACUAUUUUUCAUUUAUUACUAUUGUAGAUAGUAGGUUUAAAAAGUAACAUGUAACAUUUUAUCCAUAAAUUAUUUUAUAAAAAUGAAUUGGUAAAUGAGUUAUAAUAAAAACUCACUUUUUUAACUUUGCCCCAAAAUUUUUCAAAAUCACUGAAAGUAAAGAGCUUCUAAAACAUGAUGUGCGCUAGCUCUUAACUUUUACCUUUGAAUUUAUUUUUAAAAUUAAAAUUUAACUUAAAUUUGAAUUAGAAUCAUGAUGCUAAUUUUACAUUCUAAAUUUUAUUUAUAAAUUCAAAUUCAACAUAAAAAUUUUUAAUUUAAUUUGUAAAUUUAUAUUUAAAUUUAAAAUUUUAUUCAAAUUUAAAUUCUAAUUUUAAAAAUUUUAAUCAAAUUGUUUUAAUUAGCUACAAACUUCAAGCUGAGCUUGAACUUUAACCAAACUAUAAAUUCAAAUUAUUGAUUGAAAUUUGAAUUCAAAAUUUAAAUUUUUAACUUAAAAUUUGAAAAGAAUUUAAAUUUGCAUUUUGAUUUAAUUUCAAAAUUCAAAUUAUGAAUUCAAAUGUUCAAAAUUUAAUUAAUAUUUUAGUUUUUAAGAUGAAAGUUGAUUUAAAUUAUGAGUAUAUGUUGUUUGUUUAUAUUUUAAUUUCUUUAUGUAAAAUCAAACAAUCAAACCACUAAACUACAAUUUUUUACUUUUAACUUUAUGGUCAACUAAACAAUCAAACUUAAAAGUGACACCUAUAAAAAUGAUUUUUUUCAUUUCAGUCACUUUGAGGCAACCAAACAUGCCCUUAAUAGAAGAAAUGAAAGUGAUUUUUUCUUGUUAUUGUUUUUUUUUUUUUUCGAUUGGAAUAGAUGAAUCUCUGUUGUAUUUUUGGCAUUAACUAUUAAUCCCAAAAGAUCGAGUUGUUAGAAAUAUGCAAUCUAUUCACAUAAAGUGUACAGACACAAUGCCCAUGGAUCUCGAUUAUAACUCAGUUCAACCAUGCUCAUGCUAUUUCGAACAUAACUCGGCCCUACGCGGCCUCCUGUAUUUCUUUUUUCGAUUGGAAGAGAUGAAGUAUGUUGUUCAAUACUCUAUUGGAUUGUUAGCGUUAACUAUUAAUCCAAAGAGGUCGAAUUGUUAGAAAUACAUAAUCAAUUCACUUAAAGUAUAUAGAUACAACAUCCAUAGAUUUCAAUUAUAACUUGGCUCAAAAAGACUCACGCCACUUUAAACAUGACUCGGCCUAAUCUAGCCUUCUGCCUUUUUUUUUUUUUCUUUUUCAAUUGGAAGAGAUUAAAGUGUUUUGUCCAAUGCUCCGUUGGAUCAUUAACGGUCGCUAUUAAUCUCAAAAGCUCAAGCUAUUAGAUAUACGCAACUAAUUCACUUCGAACCUACAACCUCUUACUCUAAUACCACUUGUUGGAUCGUUGGCACAAUCAUUAAUCUAAAAGCUCGAGCUAUUAGAAAUAUAUAAGAACUAAUGUCUUAUUAUGAUGCGUAUUGCCUCGUCAGAAGCAAUCAAUUUAAAAGUAAAAACCCAAAAGUAAAAAAAUAUAAAAAACCAAAAAACACCCUACAUGAUUUACUACUAAGGGUGAAUCGCACCGUUGGUCUCAACCUUUACCUGAUAUUUUAUUUUGGACUACCUUUUAUUUUUAACAAAUAGAUUCUUAACGGUAUACUAUUGAAAUUUCUUUUUUAUAAGUGCGCCUACUGUGUAAGUCUAAUCUCGACAACUCAAUGUCUUUUCACGUGCUUACGAUUACCGCGAUCUUGCAUAUGAUACUUACGGUCUUCUUUGAAGUAGCCAAUUUUCUUGGCAUCUAGUCGGAACUGCUACGAGAUUUUUUUAGAAACUAGAAAAAAUCAAUACUGGCGCUUGAAAUUCACUAGAUCAUAACAGUAAUUUAUGUGCGUAGAUAAAAUUUUAUUGAGUUGAUGUGAUUUAUUUUCUCAUAAUUAAUAGAAAUUGAAUGAUUGAGACCAAAUUAAAAAUAGAAUUAUAAAAAAUAGGGAUUUAGCAGUAUAGAUAAAGGGGACCAAAGUUAGCAGCAUAGUUAAAGGGAACCAAAGUGAAAAAAAAAAAAAAAAAAAAAAAAAAAAAGUGGAAUAAAAAUUUAGGAGCAGUGGUACAAUUAAUUAAUCCUAGGUACCAGUACAUCAUGUCUAGAUCAAAAACAGAAGCAGACGAUUGCAACGUGACAGCAACGUCAGAAAGUAACACGUACCUCAUGUCUGGCCAGAUCUUUUCAAGCGUUCAAUCAUUGAUGCCACGAAAUUUGUACAACAACUCGUGCCAGUUCAUUGCACAUGCAACAAAAUUUUUAGGUAUGUUUGAGCAUUAUAAGUUAUUCCCCUAUAACUAGAUAUUUAAAAUUUUUAAAUUUGACUGCUAUUGAUACUGUAUUAUUAUGUUUGAUUUAAUAUAAUAAUAUAAUACUAUAUUACAAUAUAUAUAUAAAAUAUUAUUAUUAUUAUUAUAUUUGAUUUAUUUUAUAAAAUUCAGUUAUUCUGAAAAUAAAGUGCAGUUUAUUUCAAAAUUGUCUUCAGUCAUAUUUGGCCAAAGAAUUUUAUUGUUUACAAAUAAUAUUUCUUUUACUAAAAUUUAUUUUUAAAUAAUUUAAAAUUUGAAUUUAAAUUAAAAAUUUUGAGAUUUAAAUUUACAUCUGAACAAAAAUAUAAAAUUUAAUACUUUUAAUAUAAAAUAUAAACAUGAAAUGAACAGAAGAAAUUCCAGUUUAAUUUUCUUUCACGCCAGAAAAUAAGAAAUAAACAAACAAACAAAUAAAUAAUAAUAAAUAUUAAAUACAAAAUAAAAACUUUCUUCAACAAUAAGGCUUCGUUUGGAAUUACGUGGAGAUUGCGUUACGUGCGGUGAGAAAGUUCGUUGAAAAAUUAUCUGUUUGUUUCCGUACGUAAUACUGCGUUCCGCAUAUCGCGAUGAGUCGGUUAUGAUACAUUUUUUAAGGUCACAUCGGAGAACGUAGAAGUAUAUCUCUAUAUAUUUUUUCUUCAACUCUAUUUUAUUUAAUAGCGUUAGAUAGAUCUUAAUACCAAACUAAACCUAAGUAGGAAA